GACGAACGCUGGCGGCGUGCCUAACACAUGCAAGUCGAGCGAGCCGUACUAACCGAUUUACUUCGGUAUUGAUGAUAGGAAAGCCACCGGCCUAAGGGUGGGUAACACGCCGGGAACCUGGCCCCUAUACCGGGAAACCACUUGGAAACAAGUGCUUAUACCCGAUGAAUAAGCCGGCCGCAUGAUCAGCAUUUUAAAGGGGGCAUGAGUCGUACCUCUGGGAUGGCCCCCCGGUGCAUUAGCUAGUUGGUAAGGUAAAGGCCUAACAAGGCGAUGAUGCAUAGCCGAGUCGAGAGACUGAUCGGCCACAUUGGGACUGAGACACGGCCCAAACUCCUACGGGAGGCAGCAGUAGGGAAUCUUCCACAAUGGACGCAAGUCUGAUGGAGCAACGCCGCGUGAGUGAAGAAGGUUUUAGGAUCGUAAAGCUCUGUUGUUGGUGAAGAAGGAUAGAGGUAGUAACUGGCCUUUAUUUGACGGUAAUCAACCAGAAAGUCACGGCUAACUACGUG
This 512-nucleotide ribosomal RNA is filed under the name uncultured bacterium. RNAcentral's name for it is "partial 16S ribosomal RNA". It matches the Rfam family "Bacterial small subunit ribosomal RNA", at positions 28 to 507 of the family's 1533-position model. The record is from RNAcentral.